AUGCUUGCUUUGGCAGCACAUAUAGUAAAACUGGAAUGAUACAGAGAAGAUUAGCAUGGCCCCUGUGCAAGGAUGACAUGCAAAUUCCUGAAGCAUUCCAUAUUUUU
RNAcentral lists this small nuclear RNA (107 nucleotides) under Bos indicus x Bos taurus (hybrid cattle). The record is from RNAcentral. Lineage: Eukaryota; Metazoa; Chordata; Mammalia; Artiodactyla; Bovidae.